UGGGGAUGACGUCAAGUCAUCAUGGCCCUUACGACCAGGGCUACACACGUGCUACAAUGGCGCAUACAAAGAGAAGCGACCUCGCGAGAGCAAGCGGACCUCAUAAAGUGCGUCGUAGUCCGGAUUGGAGUCUGCAACUCGACUCCAUGAAGUCGGAAUCGCUAGUAAUCGUGGAUCAGAAUGCCACGGUGAAUACGUUCCCGGGCCUUGUACACACCGCCCGUCACACCAUGGGAGUGGGUUGCAAAAGAAGUAGGUA
This 259-nucleotide ribosomal RNA is filed under the name Shigella boydii. Its description in RNAcentral is "partial 16S ribosomal RNA". It matches the Rfam family "Bacterial small subunit ribosomal RNA", at positions 1174 to 1432 of the family's 1533-position model. Lineage: Bacteria; Pseudomonadati; Pseudomonadota; Gammaproteobacteria; Enterobacterales; Enterobacteriaceae. The record is from RNAcentral.